This is a non-coding RNA of Lupinus albus (white lupine), 523 nucleotides long. NCBI's taxonomy places the organism in Eukaryota, Viridiplantae, Streptophyta, Magnoliopsida, Fabales, Fabaceae. The record is from the annotation of a GenBank genome assembly.
UGUAGUAAAAUAGAAUGAGUGUGAUUAAUUGAAAGGGGGUUACCACAAUUUUCACGGCCCCAACAGAUGUGAAAGGUGAAUAUAAUCCCUAAAUCAUCCAUUCCCACUUCUCUUUCAAUCUUUCUAUGCACUUGAGUACUUACGAGAAUUAGGAAUUUGCAACUUCAGGUUUGGAUUCUUCGGGAAGAUGGUGUUUAUCUCCUCUGAUUCACUACCAACUCUUACUCUUUUAUCCUAAUGUGAUGCUCUCAAUUGAUUGAAUGCAGUCUAUACUUAUAGCAAGGAAGGGAGGGCACAUGCACAAUAAUGAGAGGAUUCUCCCAUUAAAGCGUUGGAGCAAUAACGCUUAGGUGCUGUAUGCUAUAAAUUCAAAUGUAUUUAUUGCUUGAUUUAAGCACAUGUAAUUGCUUUGUAUUAUUUCAAUGGUUCCAAUUAUUGUAGUGUUAAUUCAAAUGCUCAAUCACUAUUUGAAUUAAGCAUAUGACCAACGGCCUGAGUUAUUGUACCGUAGUGCAAAUUUUGU